UGCAGCCGGGGAGUUAGCGGUGCCCUGUACCUGCAAUCCGCUAUAGCAGGGGUGAUGAUCGGCCCCGGAUCGUGUAUCUGUGGGGCUGCCCGGGAUAAGCGGCGUUGAUGUUUGGGUCUCACGCGACAGGAAUCUGUGAACCGUGUCAGGUUGGGAACAAAGCAGCACUAAGCAGAACCUCCUUGUGUGCCGUGAGGCAGCCUGGACUGAGCUGGCUGUUCCGGUUCCGCUCAUGG
RNAcentral lists this signal recognition particle RNA (236 nucleotides) under uncultured Eubacterium sp. RNAcentral describes it as "Bacterial large signal recognition particle RNA". It matches the Rfam family "Bacterial large signal recognition particle RNA", at positions 7 to 233 of the family's 256-position model. From Rfam's summary of the family: The signal recognition particle (SRP) is a universally conserved ribonucleoprotein involved in the co-translational targeting of proteins to membranes. Archaeal SRP consists of a 7S RNA and homologues of the eukaryotic SRP19 and SRP54 proteins. Lineage: Bacteria; Bacillati; Bacillota; Clostridia; Eubacteriales; Eubacteriaceae. The record is from RNAcentral.